CACAGUUCAGAGAGAUCAGACACAUACCAUAUACACAACAGCUUGUUGUGGAAUACUACCAACACUGGACUACCGGCACCACUGACGUUUGAGAUAUAUUUUUCAGGUAGUUCAGACACAAACCACGACAGAUUAGGGACCGAUCAUUAUUUAUGGUUGGGUGUGGCACCGAACUGAAAAGGGUUGGGUAAACAAAAUUUUGAGUGAGUAAAAGGUUGGAUAAAUGAAAAACAAAACAACUCAAGGGUUGGGUAAUAAAAUUUUAUUGUCAUUUCCAAAGCAUAACUCACUGAAAUAUUGGAGACUAAAAAGCAAUGUCAACAGUCAUAUGUCAAUACAAUAUGUGAAUCAAUCAGAGUCACUAUCUUGAUCAUUUUCCGCUUUGUUGGGAGAAAAGUAGUGUCUCCAAAGAAAGUACAUGUGCAGACAACGUGAAACUUUAGACUGUAGAAAAUUUCACAAUCCGUUAUCAAACUCAUGUCACAGAAGUGGUAAGGGACUAGUGUGACAACUGAAUGGUAUCUUUUUGUAAUGUUUUUGUCCAGGGGUGGGUAUUUCUUUUUUAAUUGAUAUUUGAGGUUGGGUAAUCAAAUAUUUUACUUUUUAAUGGUUGGGUCAGCAAAAUGUUUGCCACG
Paramuricea clavata is the source of this 635-nucleotide non-coding RNA. NCBI's taxonomy places the organism in Eukaryota, Metazoa, Cnidaria, Anthozoa, Malacalcyonacea, Plexauridae. The record is from the annotation of a GenBank genome assembly.